Molecule: long non-coding RNA, 283 nt
Filed under: Manihot esculenta (cassava)
Lineage: Eukaryota; Viridiplantae; Streptophyta; Magnoliopsida; Malpighiales; Euphorbiaceae
Description: long non-coding RNA (MESC_LNC001053)
Source: RNAcentral
AGUUGAUGACAAAUGGAACGAGUCUGUCAAAAUGCAUGACCUUGUCCGUGAUGUAGCCAUAUCACUUGCCUCCAGAAAUAAGCAGUGGCACACAUUACAAAGUCAAGCUAGAAUAAAUGAGUGGCAAUAUGAUGAUGGGUACAAAAAUUGCACUGCAAUUUCACUUCUGUGUGAAGACAUCAAAAAACUUAAAGAUCAUUUAAAGUGUCCGAAGCUUGAACUCUUACAGCUUUGGCAUGAUAGUCAGUUAGAAAGCCUUCCAAACAACGUGUUAGAAGGGAUG